AUUGAACGCUGGCGGCAGGCCUAACACAUGCAAGUCGAACGGUAACAGGAAGCAGCUUGCUGCUUUGCUGACGAGUGGCGGACGGGUGAGUAAUGUCUGGGAAACUGCCUGAUGGAGGGGGAUAACUACUGGAAACGGUAGCUAAUACCGCAAAACGUCGCAAGACCAAAGAGGGGGACCUUCGGGCCUCUUGGCAUUGGAUUUUCCCAGAUGGGAUUAGCUAGUAGGUGGGGUAACGGCUCACCUAGGCGACGAUCCCUAGCUGGUCUGAGAGGAUGACCAGCCACACUGGAACUGAGACACGGUCCAGACUCCUACGGGAGGCAGCAGUGGGGAAUAUUGCACAAUGGGCGCAAGCCUGAUGCAGCCAUGCCGCGUGUAUGAAGAAGGCCUUCGGGUUGUAAAGUACUUUCAGCGGGGAGGAAGGGAGUAAAGUUAAUACCUUUGCUCAUUGACGUUACCCGCAGAAGAAGCACCGGCUAACUCCGUG
Molecule: ribosomal RNA, 490 nt
Filed under: uncultured bacterium
Lineage: Bacteria
Description: partial 16S ribosomal RNA
Rfam family: Bacterial small subunit ribosomal RNA
Source: RNAcentral